Molecule: ribosomal RNA, 705 nt
Filed under: uncultured bacterium
Lineage: Bacteria
Description: bacterial SSU rRNA
Rfam family: Bacterial small subunit ribosomal RNA
Source: RNAcentral
GGCGAACGGGGUAGGACAACAUCGGUAACGUACCCUCGGGACGGGGAUAGCGGCGGGAAACUGCCGGUAAUACCCGAUGAUCUGGCAGCACUGCGAUGGCUGCCAGCAAAGGUGUGAUUCCACCAGGGGAGCGGCUGAUGCGCUAUUAGCUAGUUGGCGAGGUCACGGCUCACCAAGGCGACGAUGGCUAGGGGGUGUGAGAGCAUGGCCCCCACCACUGGCACUGAGACACUGGCCAGACACCUACGGGUGGCUGCAGUCGAGAAUCUUCGGCAAUGGGCGCAAGCCUGACCGAGCGACGCCGCGUGCGGGAUGAAGGCCUUCGGGUUGUAAACCGCUGUCGGAGGGGAUGAAAUGCCGGGGGGUUCUCCCCCCGGUUUGACAGAGCCUCGGAGGAAGCACGGGCUAAGUUCGUGCCAGCAGCCGCGGUAAUACGAACUGUGCGAACGUUAUUCGGAAUCACUGGGCUUAAAGGGUGCGUAGGCGGCUCGCCAAGUCAGGUGUGAAAUCCCCCGGCUCAACCGGGGAACAGCGCUUGAAACUAGCAGGCUGGAGUGAGGCAGGGGUAUGUGGAACUUCCGGUGGAGCGGUGAAAUGUGUAGAUAUCGGAAGGAACGCCGGUGGCGAAAGCGGCAUACUGAGCCUUGUCUGACGCUGAGGCACGAAAGCUAGGGGAGUGAACGGGAUUAGAUACCCCGGUAAUCC